Molecule: long non-coding RNA, 1936 nt
Organism: Triticum aestivum (bread wheat)
Lineage: Eukaryota; Viridiplantae; Streptophyta; Magnoliopsida; Poales; Poaceae
Exons: 4
Source: RefSeq, a predicted model, not a curated record
UUCGCAAGGUCGCAUGGCGGCUCCUCCCGACCACUCUGGGUUCUGAUCCGAUCGAUGCGGGAGGGACGACUCCCAUGGCCACCGCGCUGGAUUCUGGCCGACGCGACGAACGCCCUGGCCGGCGAGAAGAUCCGGCGGCCGCGCGUGAUGCGGGUGAAUCGGGGGCCGGCCGAUCCAGCCGACGCGGUCGUUCGCCUGCGAAUUGGAAAUGGAGGGACGCCAUCGAUGAUGGCCGGCGCCUCAUCCGCUGGAUACUCGGCAACGAUGCCGCGGCCUUUAGGUUGGGUUACGAGUGCGCGGUCCAUGGUUCCGCUACCGUCCGUUGAAAGAUCGGACAUCAUGGUUUUUGUCAUUACCCUGCCACUAAUCAUCCGAAGAGAUGGAGAUGAGGUUGCUGUUUGACCAUGAUACGAAGAGUGUCUUUGGGAUUGGAGGAUAAUGACUGGGUUCAAACCAUUUUGCUUCCCGACAACGUAAUAGUUGUGCAACAUAUUGAUUAAACAAGUGGAGAAUUUACUAUUUGUUCAGAUGGCAAAGAAGCACUCAUCUGCAGUUAAAGUGAUGCCGAAAUUCUGGAACCUGAGCAAGAGAAGCAUGUUUUCACAAAAUUAUGAGAAGAUCUGCUGAAUAGACUACGUUUUCUGCAUUGUGCGCUCUUGUCUCAAUUGCUGCAAGUACUUUUGACAAAAUGCUAUUUAUCCGUUCAAGUUAAUCUGAAGAAUUGGUACUAAUUGUAAGUCUACUUCAUCUGAUCUUGUCUCUUUAAUUAUUUUUGAGUAUAUAAUUUUUUCUGACUUCUCCAUACCACAAAAUACAACACAAAUUUUUACAUGCUUAUAUGUAUGGUGUAUGGUGUUUAUUUUUCUUUUGGUGGUUCAUUUCUUCUUUACGGGAAGUAUGUAAUACAUUGAAUGCAAACAUAGCAGAACCUGUAUUCUAGGAUUUUACAUGCUCAUAUGCAUGGUGUCAGCUCUAACAAGGUACAAUAUUUUCAAAAGGGUUAGUGCCCAAGUUCUACAGAAUUACGCAGACAUAGUUUGUUCUGUUGACCUAAGAACAUGACUUCUCUUUAUUUUCUCUCCUAAGGCUUUGAGCUUCGUGGAAGCUAUUUCUAUGAUGAAAGGGAUAAGAACUUAGUCCUUUUAGAUAAGGAACAUACAUAAAUUAUUUCAAAACUGUAUCAUUUGGGAAACAAAUAAUAGUUCCGUCAAUUUGUAUCGAGUAGUGACAUAUGAGUAACCCUCACUUGGUCUCAUUGAAAUCUUGCCGCUAUUCAGCCAAAGCCAGUAACAUUUCUAAGCAAUGUGGUCUAUUUCUGCUCGAUCAGUGGAGCCUCGGUGGAUCUGUAUCACAAUCAUUACAAGAUGAGCUUGUGACUUUGAGAGGACACCAUUCCAUUUAUCACGAGUUAAUGGGGAAAUCCUACAGAAACUUAAAUAUGAAUUUCAAGUAAAUUUCGUUUCUUUCUUCGUUUUCUUGAACUAUUAGCUUUCUCAAGGGUCGUAUUCACAUAGUUAUUUCCUCAAUCAUAUAUUGUUAAUAACUUCUGUUUCAGCUAUUGCUACCACUUUUGUGGCCAUUUAUUCGAGAAUGCUGCUCGCUACGAAUACACAACAAGGAUGACAUUGAGGCCAUCAGGACACACCGGUUAAUGUCCAAGCACUGGCAGCCUGAUGCCUAAGAUAAUUGUAUAAUUUAGCACCCCAAAUCUCAAUGUGUGAUGUGAAAGCAUACUGUAUUUACUUUAUGGUUGUUUCAUUCUUGCCCUCCUCAAAGUGGAACAUUGUGAUUCUGUGCACAUGUUUUUUUACAAUUAUAUCUCCAUGUGCCUAGCAUUCUUAUGUCACGGCUCAUUUUUGUUUAAAUUCACGGAUGCCGCAAAACAAGUUGGGGCCGUAACGGUUUGUUUGCCAGUUGAAUACGAAUUACUGCUUUA